This 301-nucleotide ribosomal RNA is filed under the name uncultured bacterium. RNAcentral describes it as "partial 16S ribosomal RNA". It matches the Rfam family "Bacterial small subunit ribosomal RNA", at positions 509 to 807 of the family's 1533-position model. The record is from RNAcentral.
CAGUAGCCACGGUAAUACGGAGGAUCCAAGCGUUAUCCGGAAUCAUUGGGUUUAAAGGGUCCGUAGGCGGUCUUGUAAGUCAGUGGUGAAAGCCCAUCGCUCAACGGUGGAAAGGCCAUUGAUACUGCAGGACUUGAAUUAUUGGGAAGUAACUAGAAUAUGUAGUGUAGCGGUGAAAUGCUUAGAGAUUACAUGGAAUACCAAUUGCGAAGGCAGGUUACUACCAAUUGAUUGACGCUGAUGGACGAAAGCGUGGGUAGCGAACAGGAUUAGAUACCCCCGUAGUCCCUGUCUCUUAUAC